UUAAUAAAAUGUUUAUAUAAUUAUUAAUAUGAGCACUUUUCUUAAGGGACAAAAUUGAUACACAUGAACAUUUUUUCAUUGGUUAUAAUUAAAUAUUAUAAUUGUCUGCACCUACAUUAUAAAAUAUUUUGACUUCUCAAGAAAUUUAAAAUUUAAAAAAAUAAUUGUUCUAACUAUUUAUCAAAUAAUGAAUAUUUUAUGCUAAUUUUUUCACCAAAAGGCCGUCCCGUUUACAAUUUGGACUACAUCUCAGUACCUGUGAAAUUGGAAUCGCGUCCCGUUUCUUUAAUAAUGAAUAUUUUACGCUAUUUUUUUCACCAAAAGGUGCUCUGUGUUUGGUUGACGAGACUAUUGUAGUAUCGUAUAUGCAACUGCUACACUAUAAUAUUAUAUAAUAUUGACUGCUG
Aphis gossypii (cotton aphid) is the source of this 407-nucleotide long non-coding RNA. RefSeq lists it as uncharacterized. NCBI's taxonomy places the organism in Eukaryota, Metazoa, Arthropoda, Insecta, Hemiptera, Aphididae. The record is from RefSeq and is a predicted model, not a curated record. The transcript is spliced from 3 exons.